CUACGUGCCAGCAGCCGCGGUAAUACGUAGGUGGCAAGCGUUGUCCGGAAUUAUUGGGCGUAAAGCGCGCGCAGGCGGAUUGGUCAGUCUGUMUUAAAAGUUCGGGGCUUAACCCCGUGAUGGGAUGGAAACUGCCAAUCUAGAGUAUCGGAGAGGAAAGUGGAAUUCCUAGUGUAGCGGUGAAAUGCGUAGAUAUUAGGAAGAACACCAGUGGCGAAGGCGACUUUCUGGACGAAAACUGACGCUGGGGCGCGAAAGCCAGGGGAGCGAACGGGAUUAGAUACCCCGGUAGUCCUGGCCAUAAACGAUGGGUACUAGGUGUAGGAGGUAUCGACCCCUUCUGUGCCGGAGUUAACGCAAUAAGUACCCCGCCUGGGGAGUACGACCGCAAGGUUGAAACUCAAAGGAAUUGACGGGGGCCCGCACAAGCGGUGGAGUAUGUGGUUUAAUUCGACGCAACGCGAAGAACCUUACCAGGUCUUGACAU
This 487-nucleotide ribosomal RNA is filed under the name uncultured bacterium. RNAcentral's name for it is "bacterial SSU rRNA". It matches the Rfam family "Bacterial small subunit ribosomal RNA", at positions 501 to 987 of the family's 1533-position model. The record is from RNAcentral.